RNAcentral lists this unclassified non-coding RNA (380 nucleotides) under soil metagenome. RNAcentral describes it as "partial contains 5.8S ribosomal RNA, internal transcribed spacer 2, and large subunit ribosomal RNA". The stretch from base 1 to 120 matches the Rfam family "5.8S ribosomal RNA", at positions 35 to 154 of the family's 154-position model. The record is from RNAcentral.
GAUGAAGAACGUAGCGAAAUGCGAUAAGUAAUGUGAAUUGCAGAAUUCAGUGAAUCAUCGAAUCUUUGAACGCAUCUUGCGCUCCUUGGUAUUCCGAGGAGCAUGCCUGUUUGAGUGUCAUUAAAGUUCUCAACCAUGCCAGUUUUCUCUGGUCCAUGGCCUUGGAUGUGGGGGGUUUAUCAUUUGCUGGCUUUGGAGACAAAGUCGGCUCCCCUGAAAUGCAUUAGUAGUAUUCGAGCAGAAAUCUACCACAGGUGUGAUGAAUUAUCUAUGCCUUGGUAUCAACUGUGUGCACUGCUUUCUCUAACAACAUUUGACAAAUUUGACCUCAAAUCAGGCAGGACUACCCGCUGAACUUAAGCAUAUCAAUAAGCGGAGGA